GACGAACGCUGGCGGCGUGCUUAACACAUGCAAGUCGAACGGAAAGGCCCUGCUUUUGUGGGGUGCUCGAGUGGCGAACGGGUGAGUAACACGUGAGUAACCUGCCCUUGACUUUGGGAUAACUUCAGGAAACUGGGGCUAUUACCGGAGAGGAUCUCCUGCUGCAUGGGGGGGGUUGGAAAAUUUCGGCGGUUGGGGAUGGACUCGCGGCUUAUCAGCUUGUUGGUGGGGUAGUGGCUUACCAGGGCUUUGACGGGUAGCCGGCCUGAGAGUGUGACCGGCCACAUUGGGACUGAGAUACGGCCCAGACUCCUACGUGAGGCAGCAGUGGGGAAUAUUGCACAAUGGGCGGAAGCCUGAUGCAGCAACGCCGCGUGCGGGAUGACGGCCUUCGGGUUGUAAACCGCUUUCGCCUGUGACGAAGCGUGAGUGACGGUAAUGGGUAAAGAAGCACCGGCUAACUACGUG
This 468-nucleotide ribosomal RNA is filed under the name uncultured bacterium. RNAcentral describes it as "partial 16S ribosomal RNA". It matches the Rfam family "Bacterial small subunit ribosomal RNA", at positions 28 to 507 of the family's 1533-position model. The record is from RNAcentral.